Molecule: ribosomal RNA, 515 nt
Filed under: uncultured bacterium
Lineage: Bacteria
Description: bacterial SSU rRNA
Rfam family: Bacterial small subunit ribosomal RNA
Source: RNAcentral
CUACGUGCCAGCAGCCGCGGUAAUACGGAGGGUGCGAGCGUUAAUCGGAAUAACUGGGCGUAAAGGGCACGCAGGCGGCUAUUUAAGUGAGGUGUGAAAUCCCCGGGCUUAACCUGGGAAUUGCAUUUCAGACUGGGUAGUUAGAGUACUUUAGGGAGGGGUAGAAUUCCACGUGUAGCGGUGAAAUGCGUAGAGAUGUGGAGGAAUACCGAAGGCGAAGGCAGCCCCUUGGGAAUGUACUGACGCUCAUGUGCGAAAGCGUGGGGAGCAAACAGGAUUAGAUACCCUGGUAGUCCACGCUGUAAACGCUGUCGAUUUGGGGAUUGGGCUUUAAGCUUGGUGCCCGUAGCUAACGUGAUAAAUCGACCGCCUGGGGAGUACGGCCGCAAGGUUAAAACUCAAACGAAUUGACGGGGGCCCGCACAAGCGGUGGAGCAUGUGGUUUAAUUCGAUGCAACGCGAAGAACCUUACCUACUCUUGACAUCCAUGGAAUCCUGUAGAGAUACGGGAGUGC